This 385-nucleotide unclassified non-coding RNA is filed under the name Hevea brasiliensis (rubber tree). Lineage: Eukaryota; Viridiplantae; Streptophyta; Magnoliopsida; Malpighiales; Euphorbiaceae. The record is from RNAcentral.
UUUAGCUUUUAGGGAAGCUGUUAUUUUGUCCAGAAGACGUGGUUGGAGUUCAGUCAUCUUUUAAGUGAUGCUCUGGUUGUGGUUCAAGCUCUUCGGGAAAUGUCUACCAUGCUGGAGAUUCAAGAUAUUGUAAAUGAUGCUUUGCAAUUUAGUCAAGGCUUAGAUCAGUUCUCAUUUAAUUUUGUCAAAAGAUCAUGUAAUUUUGCUGCUCAUUGUCUUGCACAGAAACCGCUUUAUGACCAGUUGUUUCUGUGCAAUCCCAUGACAUAGGCUGCUUUCUUUUGUUCGUUGAUGCUGUUGGGCUUUCUUUGAAAUGAUAUCUUUCGUUAAAAUAAAAUAAAAUAAAAAAGUGUUGUAUUACUUGGCCAAAAUGGUCACAUGCCAG